This 254-nucleotide ribosomal RNA is filed under the name uncultured bacterium. RNAcentral describes it as "partial 16S ribosomal RNA". It matches the Rfam family "Bacterial small subunit ribosomal RNA", at positions 524 to 776 of the family's 1533-position model. The record is from RNAcentral.
UACGGGGGGGGCAAGCGUUGUUCGGAAUUACUGGGCGUAAAGGGCGCGUAGGCGGCCUGCUAAGUCGGACGUGAAAUCCCUCGGCUCAACCGGGGAACUGCGUCCGAUACUGGCGAGGCUUGAAUCCGGGAGAGGGAUGUGGAAUUCCAGGUGUAGCGGUGAAAUGCGUAGAUAUCGGGAAGAACACCCGUGGCGAAGGCGGCUCUCUGGGACGGUACUGACGCUGAGACGCGAAAGCGUGGGGAGCGAACAGG